This 253-nucleotide ribosomal RNA is filed under the name uncultured bacterium. RNAcentral describes it as "partial 16S ribosomal RNA". It matches the Rfam family "Bacterial small subunit ribosomal RNA", at positions 524 to 776 of the family's 1533-position model. The record is from RNAcentral.
UACGUAGGGUGCAAGCGUUAAUCGGAAUUACUGGGCGUAAAGCGUGCGCAGGCGGUUGUGCAAGACAGAUGUGAAAUCCCCGGGCUCAACCUGGGAACUGCAUUUGUGACUGCACGGCUAGAGUGUGUCAGAGGGGGGUAGAAUUCAACGUGUAGCAGUGAAAUGCGUAGAUAUGUGGAGGAACACCGAUGGCGAAGGCAGCCCCCUGGGUCAAGACUGACGCUCAUGCACGAAAGCGUGGGGAGCAAACAGG